RNAcentral lists this unclassified non-coding RNA (291 nucleotides) under uncultured fungus. Its description in RNAcentral is "partial contains small subunit ribosomal RNA, internal transcribed spacer 1, and 5.8S ribosomal RNA". The stretch from base 1 to 73 matches the Rfam family "Eukaryotic small subunit ribosomal RNA", at positions 1759 to 1831 of the family's 1831-position model. Lineage: Eukaryota; Fungi. The record is from RNAcentral.
CCAAACUUGGUCAUUUAGAGGAAGUAAAAGUCGUAACAAGGUCUCCGUUGGUGAACCAGCGGAGGGAUCAUUAACGAGUGUAAAAACUCACCAAACCCUGUGAACAUACCUUUUUGUUGCUUCGGCGGGAAUCGCCCCGGGCUCGCUCGCGUGCCCCGGAUCCAGGCGCCCGCCGGAGGACCCCAAACUCUUGUAUUCUGUGAUGGUUUUAUCUGAGUGGCUUCUAUAAGCAAAUGAAUCAAAACUUUCAACAACGGAUCUCUUGGUUCUGGCAUCGAUGAAGAACGCAGC